GUAUCCUACGGGACGCAGCAGUGGGGAAUCUUCCGCAAUGGGCGCAAGCCUGACGGAGCAACGCCGCGUGAAUGAAGAAGGUCUUCGGAUCGUAAAGUUCUGUUCUUAGGGAAGAAGUCUUAGGUUGUGAAUAACGACUUAAGGUGACGGUACCUAUGGAGAAAGCUCCGGCUAACUACGUGCCAGCAGCCGCGGUAAUACGUAGGUGGCAAGCGUUAUCCGGAUUUACUGGGUGUAAAGGGCGUGUAGGCGGGGAAGCAAGUCAGAUGUGAAAACCACGGGCUCAACCUGUGGCCCGCAUUUGG
Molecule: ribosomal RNA, 305 nt
Filed under: uncultured bacterium
Lineage: Bacteria
Description: bacterial SSU rRNA
Rfam family: Bacterial small subunit ribosomal RNA
Source: RNAcentral